RNAcentral lists this long non-coding RNA (1889 nucleotides) under Cricetulus griseus (Chinese hamster). Its description in RNAcentral is "lncRNA (ENSCGRG00015033925.1)". The record is from RNAcentral. Lineage: Eukaryota; Metazoa; Chordata; Mammalia; Rodentia; Cricetidae.
CCCAAAUCAGGUUCUCUCCAAAGUCUCAGCUUCCUCCCUUCUUCCUCUCACUUCCACCUCUCACCUCUGUUUUUAUUUGGAUCCAACUUGAGUUCUGGUUUUUGUGCAUGGCUGAUCCAGAACUUACUUUCUGUAGGGUUACAGUGACUGGGACUCAGCUGUCACUGCUCAUCCGGCAAGCCCAGAUGGGAUGAGACGUGGCCAAGAGUCUAGUUAGUUGAUUGUUUCAUCUGCUUGGUCUCUGACCUCCAGGAGUACCAUGUGAUCAUCUGUGACACAAAGAGUGGCCCUUUCAGAUGUGAGUGGUGAUGUGCACAGCUCUUGUCUAUCCUUCACCUGUAACUGACUCUUUAGGAGAGGAGCUUUGUCGUCGUUGUACAUCUGACUGCACAUGAUCAAGUUUGAUCUUCACCAUGAAUCAAGUGGGCUGAGCUGGUAACAUGAAGUGAAGAAGCCAUGACAAAGGUGGGAGAUACUGAGAAGACAGGAGGUAUGACAACCAAGUGACAGCAGAGACUGUGGUAGCUGCCAGCAGCGAUGGCAGAGGUGAUGGAGAUGCCAGCAGUGGGCAAAAGCCAUCCCUGACAUCACCCCAGCAGCAGCUGCAGCAGGAGCAGCCACAGGAUAAGGUGAAAAUUCCCCAAGAAGCCACAGCCUGGGAACAACGGAAAGAAAGAGACGAGAGGGAACUGAGGCCAAAGAAGAAUAAAAGGCUGCACAGGGCCUUGGUUGCUGACAGAACUGCAGAUGGCUGCCCUGUUGUCUUGGGCGCUCAGACCCACUCUGAUAUCUAAGGCUGCAAAAGAGCCACAACCAUUUGUCACUAUAUAGCUGAAGAACCCAGUGCCUAAGGUCUGCAAUAGACUAGGACCCUAGAGGGCACCACCUGCCGCAGCUUCCCAGCUAUCUGUCAUUGCUGCUCAUCCUCUCCCCUCCCAGCAGGGAGCACAGCCAGCUGAUUGGCUGCACAGCGGGAGGGACACUGUCUGUCUGCCGGGCUCUUCAUUCCCUGAAGGCCUCUCAUACUCUAGAAAAUGAGGCCUUGGAAACCUGACUGAUCUGAUUAACACACGCCUCCAGUGAACCUCACAAUAUCCGAAGGAAACACUGAUUUGAAUCUUUCCUCUAAACACAGCAGAAAUUAUCCAUCAAUUCCCAAGAGCCUUUGAGUUUAGGAAUAAACCAGGCCACUCAUGUUCUGUCCUUGGCACUGACUUUGUACAAGGACAGUAAAGGCCACACGUGGGGGCUGGGGCAAGGGCAGAUAUAGGGCCCUGUGAGAGGGAGUUCUCUCCAGGAAGUGGGGAAAGCUGAGGCUUCUCUGACAGGAAUAUUAUUUAACAAAUACCUUGUGGCCACUGUGAGAUAGUGGAACAUAAAAUAACCCGAGACAGUGUGACAGGGUUUUCCACUCUAAGUUAAGAGGUGUGGGAGCCAGAGCAAUCAGCAAAUUCACCGUCUGCUACUCUGUUCUGUUAACAAUACAAGAGGAAAUUCCAGUUGCUUUUAAAAACUUUACAAAUCCUGAUUUUUCUUGCUGUUUUUUUAAAAAAAGGUUUAUUUAUUUUUUAUUGUAUGUGUAUGGGUGCUUGUCUGUGUGUAUUUCUGUGUACCAUAUGCCUGGAGCAUCCAUGGAGGACAAAGGAGGUAGUCAGAUUUCCUGCAACUGGGAUUACAGAAGGCUGUGAGCAGCCACAUGGGUGCUGGGAACUGAACCCUCGUCCUCUGUAAGAGCAGCCAGUGCUUUAACCACUGAGCCAUUUCUCUAACCCUCCUAAUACAUUUUAAAAUCAAGAUCUGGGGGACUGGGGAGAUGGUCACUCGAUGCUAUUGCAGAGGACCCAGCUUCAGGAUCCAGCACACACACGGUAGCUUCACUGCCAUUCAUA